This 433-nucleotide ribosomal RNA is filed under the name uncultured bacterium. RNAcentral's name for it is "partial 16S ribosomal RNA". It matches the Rfam family "Bacterial small subunit ribosomal RNA", at positions 29 to 507 of the family's 1533-position model. The record is from RNAcentral.
AACGAACGCUGGCGGCAUGCCUAACACAUGCAAGUCGAACGAGACCUUCGGGGCUAGUGGCGCACGGGUGCGUAACGCGUGGGAACCUGUCCUUAGGUUCGGAAUAACUCCCCGAAAGGGGUGCUAAUACCGGAUAAUGUCUUCGGACCACAGAUUUAUCGCCUUUGGAUGGGCCCGCGUUGGAUUAGCUAGUUGGUAGGGUAAAAGCCUAUCAAGGCGACGAUCCAUAGCUGGUCUGAGAGAAUGAUCAGCCACACUGGGACUGAGACACGGUCCAGACUCUUACGGGAGGGAGGAGUGGGGGAUAUUGGACUGUGGGGGGAAGCAUGAUCCAGCAAUGCCGCGUGAGUGAUGAAGGCCGGAGGGUUGUAAAGCUCCUUUACACGGGAUGAUAAUGACAGUACCGGGAGAAUAAGCUCCGGCUAACUCCGUG